UAAAUUUUUGAAUUUAMCUUUUGAGUCAAAAGGCUUAAAUUCUUCUUUAGGACGAGAAGACCCUAUAGAGCUUGACAUUUUACUUUUAUAUAGUUUUUUGUUUGUCUUUCUAUAUUUAAUGAUGAUGUUUUGUUGGGGUGACAUGAAGAAUAGAUAAACUCUUCAUUAUUAUAUCCUUUAUUUAUGUUUGUUAUUUCGAUCCCUAMUUUAUGAUCAUAAGAUUAAGUUACC
This 231-nucleotide ribosomal RNA is filed under the name Antaxius hispanicus. Its description in RNAcentral is "partial 16S ribosomal RNA". The record is from RNAcentral. Lineage: Eukaryota; Metazoa; Arthropoda; Insecta; Orthoptera; Tettigoniidae.